Molecule: RNase P RNA, 375 nt
Filed under: Paradevosia shaoguanensis
Lineage: Bacteria; Pseudomonadati; Pseudomonadota; Alphaproteobacteria; Hyphomicrobiales; Devosiaceae
Description: RNase P RNA component class A
Rfam family: Bacterial RNase P class A
About the family: Ribonuclease P (RNase P) is a ubiquitous endoribonuclease, found in archaea, bacteria and eukarya as well as chloroplasts and mitochondria. Its best characterised activity is the generation of mature 5'-ends of tRNAs by cleaving the 5'-leader elements of precursor-tRNAs.
Source: RNAcentral
CCAGUUGACCGGGUGGCCGCUCCGCGCAAGCGGGGAGGAAAGUCCGGGCUCCAUCGAAACACGGUGCCGGAUAACGUCCGGCGGGGGCGACCCCAGGGAAAGUGCCACAGAAAGCAAACUACCCCGGCCUCGGCCGGGGAAAAGGUGAAAGGGUGCGGUAAGAGCGCACCGCGGACCCCGCAAGGGGGACGGCAUGGUAAACCCCACCGGGAGCAAGACCAAAUAGGGAUGACACGGGGCUCGCCCCAGCCGGUUUCGUGGCCUGUCGUCCGGGUUGGUUGCUAGAGGAGUGCGGUAACGCACUUCCCAGAGGAAUGGUCACCACGCGGGGGCAACCCCGCCCUACAGAACCCGGCUUAUAGGUCAACUGGCAUU